This 750-nucleotide unclassified non-coding RNA is filed under the name Parasaccocoelium mugili. RNAcentral's name for it is "partial external transcribed spacer". The record is from RNAcentral. Lineage: Eukaryota; Metazoa; Platyhelminthes; Trematoda; Plagiorchiida; Haploporidae.
GUGACCUUUUUAUUCGGUAUGUUGGAUUUGCCAUUGCUUAUUUCAUUCAUAAUUUUAAUUUCGCGGUUGGUACCGGGACUAACGAUUUUACCAUAUUUGAGUUGGCGAGGAGGGCCACUCCUAUGGUGCAGACAGUGUCAAAUCAAUUCACGGGUUCAGUGUGUAUAUCCCGUGACUGUCAAAAUGGAAGUGAUUUUUUGCCAAUUCCAUCAGUUGUACUACACGACUGGCCGUAACGCCCACGACACAUUGUCGGGCGACAAAGGCAGCACCAAAUCUGAGGUUACGCGAGCUUUGCUCUUUCGGUUGUAAACGCACCUUUUGAGGCGUGCCGCAAUUUCUGGUGUCGUCCAUUGGUUGUACCUUUGCCUUCGUGGCUGUGCAUCAUUGGCGCACUCGUACAGGGGUUCAGGGGUGAUAUUCCUUGAUAAUUCUGUUUUGGGUCUUGCGCUCAUCGUGAAGAGGGCGGGUUUUCACUCGUCAUCGGAGCGUUGUGCGUUUUGGCCUUUACCAUGUAUAAAGUGAUCGGCUUGUCCUGUAAGCUGGACAUGCGAAAGCGUGUGCUGGCGGUGAUUAUUCGAUAAACCCGAAAUUUGAUUGCACGUGUGCAUUUGAUCCACGCUGUAGAGGGCCAGUGUGGUUGCACGAAAAAGCUAGCUAUUCAUGCGCAUUACGGGGCGGAAUGCGGUCUUGAGGCAGCUUUCAAACGUGUAUAUGUAUGCUCACAAAUGUGUUGCAAACGAGUGAACA